RNAcentral lists this ribosomal RNA (966 nucleotides) under Triticum aestivum (bread wheat). RNAcentral's name for it is "partial small subunit ribosomal RNA". Lineage: Eukaryota; Viridiplantae; Streptophyta; Magnoliopsida; Poales; Poaceae. The record is from RNAcentral.
AUGGCAUCCUCCUCCUCAAUCGUCCAGGUCGUCAGUGAGUCCACCUUGGACAGCGACGUCGUCCCCUCCUCGCUCAUCGAGAUUGCACCCUUCCUCCGUGUCGCCAACGAGGUCGAGGCCAUCAACCCACGCGUCGCAUACCUAUGUCGAUUCCAUGGCGGAUUCGAGAAGGCGCAUCGCCUCGACCCGCUCUCCAAUGGACGUGGUGUCCGGCAGUUCAAGAUCGCGCUCCUGCAGAGGCUCGAAAGGGAAAACGACCCCACCUUGAAGGGAAGGGUUGAACAGAGCGAUGUUGUCGAAAUAAAGAAUUUCUACCAGCAAUACUACAAGAUGUACAUCCAGGCGCUCCAGAAUGCUGCAGAUAAAGCUGAACGUGAUCAGCUCACAAAGGCUUACCAGACUGCAGCUGUGUUGUUUGAGGUCCUCAAGGCAGUUAAUCAGACGAUUUCCGAAACACACAACCACGUCGAUCCUGAUAGUUCUAUCAUGCGACGUCCCAAGAUCCAUGCCGCUUAUCACGCCCUUCGUGACACCAAGGGUCUGCCAUGGCCCAAGGACCAUGAAAAGAAUGCUGAUGCAGAUCUUCUUGAAUGGCUUCAGGCAAUGUUUGGGUUUCAGAAAGAUAAUGUGUCCAAUCAAAGAGAACAUCUCAUACUCUUGAUUGCCAGCAUGCAUAUAAGGCAGAUCUCCAAACAUGAACAACACCCAAAGUUAGAUGACCAUGUGUUGGAUACAACAAUGAAGAAGCUAUUCAAGAACUACAAGAGAUGGUGCAAGCACCUUGGCCGCAAAACCAGCUUAUGGCUGCCGACAAUUCAACAGGAAGUACAACAGCGUAAGCUUCUCUAUAUGGGCCUUUACUCAUAUGGGGCGAGGCGGCUAACUUGCGAUUUAUGCCAGAGUGUCUUUGCUACCUCUUUCAUCAUAUGGCUUUUGAAUUGUACAGUGUGUUGGCCGGAAAUGUGA